Molecule: long non-coding RNA, 328 nt
Organism: Delphinapterus leucas (beluga whale)
Lineage: Eukaryota; Metazoa; Chordata; Mammalia; Artiodactyla; Monodontidae
Source: RefSeq, a predicted model, not a curated record
GCAAGGUCUUCCGUUCCUCAGGGUAUAGGAGGUGUCAGUACCAAUAGAAAACCAGGCUGAAGACCUGUCAUGAGUAAGGUCAUUUCCAAGACCCUCUUCCCCACCUGGAACCAGUUGCUGCUGUUAAAUGACUUGGUGCCUUAUGGAGACCAGAGGAGUUGAUGGGGUCCCUGCCUUUAGUGGUGGUGGAGCUGUAUGACGACAACGCAGUGGUUGGGAAUCUCUUCAGACUUGCCUUCUGCAAAUCACUGGGUACGGAAACCUUACUGCAGAUGUGGAAAAACUGCACAAAAAAUCCUGUGAUUCUGAUAAUGCCCAACGUGAAGAA